CCAAUAGCGUAUAUUAAAGUUGUUGCAGUUAAAAAGCUCGUAGUUGAAUUUCGGGGUUAGUAGGUUGGUCAUGCCUCUGGUAUGUACUGGUCUCACUGAUUCCUCCUUCCUGAUGAACCUUAAUGCCAUUAAUUUGGUGUUUUGGGGAAUUUGGACUGUUACUUUGAAAAAAUUAGAGUGUUUAAAGCAAGCUAACGCUUGAAUACAUUAGCAUGGAAUAAUGAAAUAGGACGUUCGAUCCUAUUUUGUUGGUUUCUAGGAUUGACGUAAUGAUUAAUAGGGAUAGUUGGGGGCAUUAGUAUUCAAUUGUCAGAGGUGAAAUUCUUGGAUUUAUUGAAGACUAACUACUGCGAAAGCAUUUGCCAAGGAUGUUUUCAUUAAUCAAGAACGAAAGUUAGGGGAUCGAAGACGAUCAGAUACCGUCGUAGUCUUAACCAUAAACUAUGCCGACUAGGGAUCGGAUGAUGUUAAUUUUUUAAUGACUCAUUCGGCGCCUUACGGGAAACCAAAGUUUUGGGUUC
This 521-nucleotide ribosomal RNA is filed under the name uncultured Glomus. RNAcentral describes it as "SSU rRNA". It matches the Rfam family "Eukaryotic small subunit ribosomal RNA", at positions 591 to 1114 of the family's 1831-position model. The record is from RNAcentral. Lineage: Eukaryota; Fungi; Glomeromycota; Glomeromycetes; Glomerales; Glomeraceae.